Molecule: RNA transcript, 1559 nt
Organism: Vigna radiata var. radiata (mung bean)
Lineage: Eukaryota; Viridiplantae; Streptophyta; Magnoliopsida; Fabales; Fabaceae
Gene name: trihelix transcription factor GT-3b
Exons: 3
Source: RefSeq, a predicted model, not a curated record
CCUCUACCUACAUAUAUAUUCUCUUCAUCUUUUUCUCUCUCAUCUUUUGCUUCUCUUUCUCUCUAUCCUCCAUAACCAAAACACACUCUUCGAUAGCUUUUUUCUACAUCAUUCAGAGCCACUCUUUCAUCCUCUUCUAUAUUGGAUUUUUGAAUCUCUGGCUUUCUAGUUUUGGUCUUCGUUUUCAAUUUUUCAUGGAGGGUCGUCAUCUCCAUCACCAUCACCAUCACCGGCAGCAGCAGCAGCAACAACAACAUCAGCAUCACCACUCUCACAACAUCACAACCGGUGCUAACGUGGAUGCCACGGAUAGGUUCCCCCAAUGGAGCAUCCAGGAGACAAAAGAGUUCCUCGUGAUCCGUGCGGAGCUGGAUCAGACUUUCAUGGAGACAAAGAGGAACAAACAGCUCUGGGAAGUCAUCUCCAACCGGAUGAAGGAAAAGGGUUUCCAUAGAAGCGCAGAACAGUGCAAGUGCAAGUGGAAAAACCUCGUUACCCGCUAUAAGGGGUGUGAAGCGAUAGAGCCAGAGGCGAUGAGGCAGCAAUUCCCGUUUUACAAUGAGCUUCAAGGGAUUUUCGCAUCAAGGAUGCAGAGAAUGUUGUGGGCAGAAGCAGAAGGAGGGUCGAAGAAGAAGGUGGUGCAGGUAUCAUCAGAGGAUGAGGAAGAGGGAAACGAAGAGAGUGAGGGAGAUCAGAAGGGUAGCGUGAUGAAAAAGAAGAAGAAGGGGAAGAUGGUAAUAGGAGGAGGAGGGAGUAGCAGUAGCAAUAUGGAGAGUUUGAAGGAGAUCAUGGAGGAGUUCAUGAGGCAACAGAUGCAGAUGGAGGCACAGUGGAUGGAGGCGUUUGAGGCAAGGGAGAACGAGAGGAGGAUGAAAGAGAUGGAGUGGAGGCAAACCAUGGAAGCAUUGGAGAAUGAGAGAAUGAUGAUGGAUCAGAGAUGGAGAGAGAGGGAAGAGCAAAGAAGGAUUAGGGAAGAACUUAGGGCUGACAAGAGAGAUGCUCUAAUCACAGCACUUCUCAACAAGCUCACAAGAGAACAGAUGUAGUAUACAUACCUCUAACUACCUUUUUUUCUCUUUCUUCUUCUCUUCGACCAAAGCUUAAGUUAAGAGAGUUGAUAUGCCAAAAGGUUACUCAUGAGAUUGAGGUCUGUGCAUGUGAGAGAGGAAGCAGAUCAUGAUGAUCAUGUUAGUAUGCUGAAUUUCAGGCUGAGGUAUGAACUUAUUAUGACUUUAAAGUGGUAACAUUAUUCUUUAAGGCGUGUCUUCUGUGAUGAGUUGAUUUUUUUAGUUAAUAAAAUAAUUUAAAGUUAGGAAAAGGAAGAUCACAGAGAUCAGUGAUAGAAAAGGAAGUGUUUGUUCAAAAUACAAAAGCUAAGAUUGCAUGAUAACUUUUUGUCUAUAAAUUUAUGUGCGUGUGCUGUGUGUAGGGUAUAUUUGUAGAUAUCUAUGGAUAUCUUAAUUCAAACUUUUUUGGUUCAGUUAUUUUGUAUUUGGCUUUUAUUCUCAAUGUCAUGUGUAACACAGUUAAUUGUUCUUGAAACUUUAUAUUUGAUCGUU